AGAGUUUGUCCUGGCUCAGGACGAACGCUGGCGGCGUGCUUAACACAUGCAAGUCGAACGGAAAGGCCCUGCUUUUGUGGGGUGCUCGAGUGGCAAACGGGUGAGUAACACGUGAGUAACCUGCCCUUGACUUUGGGAUAACUUCAGGAAACUGGGGCUAAUACCGGAUAGGAGCUCCUGCUGCAUGGUGGGGGUUGGAAAGUUUCGGCGGUUGGGGAUGGACUCGCGGCUUAUCAGCUUGUUGGUGGGGUAGUGGCUUACCAAGGCUUUGACGGGUAGCCGGCCUGAGAGGGUGACCGGCCACAUUGGGACUGAGAUACGGCCCAGACUCCUACGGGAGGCAGCAGUGGGGAAUAUUGCACAAUGGGCGGAAGCCUGAUGCAGCAACGCCGCGUGCGGGAUGACGGCCUUCGGGUUGUAAACCGCUUUCGCCUGUGACGAAGCGUGAGUGACGGUAAUGGGUAAAGAAGCACCGGCUAACUACGUGCCAGCAGCCGCGGUGAUACGUAGGGUGCGAGCGUUGUCCGGAUUUAUUGGGCGUAAAGGGCUCGUAGGUGGUUGAUCGCGUCGGAAGUGUAAUCUUGGGGCUUAACCCUGAGCGUGCUUUCGAUACGGGUUGACUUGAGGAAGGUAGGGGAGAAUGGAAUUCCUGGUGGAGCGGUGGAAUGCGCAGAUAUCAGGAGGAACACCAGUGGCGAAGGCGGUUCUCUGGGCCUUUCCUGACGCUGAGGAGCGAAAGCGUGGGGAGCGAACAGGCUUAGAUACCCUGGUAGUCCACGCUGUAAACGGUGGGUACUAGGUGUGGGGUCCAUUCCACGGGUUCCGUGCCGUAGCUAACGCUUUAAGUACCCCGCCUGGGGAGUACGGCCGCAAGGCUAAAACUCAAAGGAAUUGACGGGGCCCCGCACAAGCGGCGGAGCAUGCGGAUUAAUUCGAUGCAACGCGUAGAACCUUACCUGGGUUUGACAUGGAUCGGGAGUGCUCAGAGAUGGGUGUGCCUCUUUUGGGGUCGGUUCACAGGUGGUGCAUGGCUGUCGUCAGCUCGUGUCGUGAGAUGUUGGGUUAAGUCCCGCAACGAGCGCAACCCUUGUUCACUGUUGCCAGCACGUUAUGGUGGGGACUCAGUGGAGACCGCCGGGGUCAACUCGGAGGAAGGUGGGGAUGACGUCAAGUCAUCAUGCCCCUUAUGUCCAGGGCUUCACGCAUGCUACAAUGGCUGGUACAGAGAGUGGCGAGCCUGUGAGGGUGAGCGAAUCUCGGAAAGCCGGUCUCAGUUCGGAUUGGGGUCUGCAACUCGACCUCAUGAAGUCGGAGUCGCUAGUAAUCGCAGAUCAGCAACGCUGCGGUGAAUACGUUCCCGGGGCUUGUACACACCGCCCGUCAAGUCAUGAAAGUUGGUAACACCCGAAGCCGGUGGCCUAACCGUUGUGGGGGAGCCGUCGAAGGUGGGACUGGUGAUUAGGACUAAGUCGUAACAAGGUAACC
This 1485-nucleotide ribosomal RNA is filed under the name uncultured Actinomycetes bacterium. RNAcentral's name for it is "SSU rRNA". It matches the Rfam family "Bacterial small subunit ribosomal RNA". The record is from RNAcentral. Lineage: Bacteria; Bacillati; Actinomycetota; Actinomycetes.